Molecule: ribosomal RNA, 464 nt
Filed under: uncultured bacterium
Lineage: Bacteria
Description: partial 16S ribosomal RNA
Rfam family: Bacterial small subunit ribosomal RNA
Source: RNAcentral
CUACGGGUUGCUCCAGUGGGGAAUAUUGCACAAUGGGCGCAAGCCUGAUGCAGCCAUGCCGCGUGUAUGAAGAAGGCCUUCGGGUUGUAAAGUACUUUCAGCGGGGAGGAAGGGAGUAAAGUUAAUACCUUUGCUCAUUGACGUUACCCGCAGAAGAAGCACCGGCUAACUCCGUGCCAGCGGCCGCGGUAAUACGGAGGGUGCAAGCGUUAAUCGGAAUUACUGGGCGUAAAGCGCACGCAGGCGGUUUGUUAAGUCAGAUGUGAAAUCCCCGGGCUCAACCUGGGAACUGCAUCUGAUACUGGCAAGCUUGAGUCUCGUAGAGGGGGGUAGAAUUCCAGGUGUAGCGGUGAAAUGCGUAGAGAUCUGGAGGAAUACCGGUGGCGAAGGCGGCCCCCUGGACGAAGACUGACGCUGAGGUGCGAAAGCGUGGGGAGCAAACAGGAUUAGAUACCCUAGUAGUC